UUGCAGGAAUUUAGCCAAUUCAGAGAUCUUGUUCUCCAUAAUUUGGAAUUUUCCUUCGGAUUUGAUCAAGUUGGAUAGAGUUGGUCAAACCCAAUGGGAAAAAGAUGAAAACAACAAGAAACAGAAACAAACAACAACAGCAACAACAACAAAAACAGACCCCACACCUCCAGACCCUGCUGAGGGAGGGCCACCCAUUUCUAGUCCCAGCUCCUACUCUAACUAUCCGUGUGACCUUAAACAAGGCCUUUCCCCUCUCUGGCCUCAGUAUCCGCCUCUGAAUAAUGGGGCUGGGCCUGCCGACCUUCUGGCCCUUUUCUGCUCUGUGAGUUUGUGAACUUGUGAUAGGGAGACAAGAGUCCUAGGAAGGAAAUAGAACUUGUGAUAGGGAGACAAGAGUCCUAGGAAAUGGAAGGAGAGCACGUUUCACUCUGUCCAGCAGAGGGCAGCAGCUACCCACAAAUCAACAGCCGAGCAAAGCCAGGGCUGUGUGGGAGCUAUGCACAGGUUCUGCCUCCAGAAGCCUUCAGUGCCAGCCUCUGAGCCAGAGGGUUCCAAGCAGAAGAGGUCCUCCAAGCCCCUCUCAGCUCUUACUUACGGCAUCCCAGAUGCCCUAUUCCUCUUCUGCAGAGAGAAGGUGGGUCAGCCACUAAAUGGUGCUGGGACCUUGCAGUUUGGUGGGAAGGAGGAAGCUUACUCAAGCAAGGAAGAUGAGACAGGCAGAAACCCACGCAUAAGUCAA
This 742-nucleotide non-coding RNA is filed under the name Pan troglodytes (chimpanzee). Lineage: Eukaryota; Metazoa; Chordata; Mammalia; Primates; Hominidae. The record is from RNAcentral.